UACGUAGGGGGCGAGCGUUGUCCGGAUUUACUGGGCGUAAAGCGCGUGUAGGCGGCUGCUUAAGUCGGGUGUGAAAGCCCGGGGCUCAACCCCGGGAUGCCGCCCGAGACUGGCGGCUUGAGGUCGAAAGAGGGGAGUGGAAUUCCAGGUGUAGCGGUGAAAUGCGUAGAGAUCUGGAGGAACACCCGUGGCGAAGGCGGCUCCCUGGUCCGAUUCUGACGCUGAGACGCGAAAGCGCGGGGAGCGAACGGG
This 252-nucleotide ribosomal RNA is filed under the name uncultured bacterium. Its description in RNAcentral is "partial 16S ribosomal RNA". It matches the Rfam family "Bacterial small subunit ribosomal RNA", at positions 524 to 776 of the family's 1533-position model. The record is from RNAcentral.